AUGAACGCUAGCUACAGGCUUAACACAUGCAAGUCGAGGGGCAGCAGAUCGAUAGCUUGCUAUUGAUGCUGGCGACCGGCGCACGGGUGAGUAACGCGUAUCCAACCUUCCCCAUAGUAGAGGAUAGCCCGGCGAAAGUCGAAUUAAUACUCUAUGUUGUAUAAUGAGGACAUCUGAAUUAUACCAAAGAUUCAUCGCUAUGGGAUGGGGAUGCGUCUGAUUAGCUUGUCGGCGGGGUAACGGCCCACCGAGGCAACGAUCAGUAGGGGUUCUGAGAGGAAGGUCCCCCACAUUGGUACUGAGACACGGACCAAACUCCUACGGGAGGCAGCAGUGAGGAAUAUUGGUCAAUGGACGAGAGUCUGAACCAGCCAAGUAGCGUGCAGGAAUGACUGCCCUAUGGGUUGUAAACUGCUUUUAUGCGGGAAUAAAGUCAGGUACGUGUACCUGUUUGUAUGUACCGCAUGAAUAAGGACCGGCUAAUUCCGUGCCAGCAGCGGC
This 501-nucleotide ribosomal RNA is filed under the name uncultured bacterium. RNAcentral's name for it is "bacterial SSU rRNA". It matches the Rfam family "Bacterial small subunit ribosomal RNA", at positions 29 to 518 of the family's 1533-position model. The record is from RNAcentral.